AUUGAACGCUGGCGGCAUGCCUUACACAUGCAAGUCGAACGGUAACGGGCCUUCGGGUGCCGACGAGUGGCGCACGGGGGAGUAAUACAUCGGAACGUGCCCGAUCGUGGGGGAUAACGAGGCGAAAGCUUUGCUAAUACCGCAUACGAUCUACGGAUGAAAGAAGGGGACCGCAAGGCCUUGCGCGGACGGAGCGGCCGAUGGCAGAUUAGGUAGUUGGUGGGAUAAAAGCUUACCAAGCCGACGAUCUGUAGCUGGUCUGAGAGGAUGAUCAGCCACACUGGGACUGAGACACGGCCCAGACUCCUACGGGAGGCAGCAGUGGGGAAUUUUGGACAAUGGGCGCAAGCCUGAUCCAGCCAUGCCGCGUGCAGGAUGAAGGCCUUCGGGUUGUAAACUGCUUUUGUACGGAACGAAAAGCCUUCUUUUAAUACAGGAGGGUCAUGACGGUACCGUAAGAAUAAGCACCGGCUAACUACGUG
Molecule: ribosomal RNA, 482 nt
Filed under: uncultured bacterium
Lineage: Bacteria
Description: partial 16S ribosomal RNA
Rfam family: Bacterial small subunit ribosomal RNA
Source: RNAcentral